RNAcentral lists this transfer RNA (73 nucleotides) under Litsea dilleniifolia. RNAcentral's name for it is "tRNA-Gln". It matches the Rfam family "tRNA". From Rfam's summary of the family: Transfer RNA (tRNA) molecules are approximately 80 nucleotides in length. Their secondary structure includes four short double-helical elements and three loops (D, anti-codon, and T loops). Lineage: Eukaryota; Viridiplantae; Streptophyta; Magnoliopsida; Laurales; Lauraceae. RNAcentral also lists the same sequence under 2 other names. The record is from RNAcentral.
UGGGGCGUGGCCAAGUGGUAAGGCAACGGGUUUUGGUCCCAUUACUCGGAGGUUCGAAUCCUUCCGUCCCAGA